Notechis scutatus (mainland tiger snake) is the source of this 644-nucleotide non-coding RNA. Lineage: Eukaryota; Metazoa; Chordata; Lepidosauria; Squamata; Elapidae. The record is from RefSeq and is a predicted model, not a curated record.
AGGUAGCAUGCUGGCUGGGGAAUUCUGGGAGCUGAAGUGCAUACAUCUUAAAAAUUGCUAAGUUUGAAAAACAUUGUUCUAAAUCAUUGACAGUUUAUUACUUGAGAAAAGAGAGAGGAAACAAGAUAUGGGAAAACAAGAUUAAAUAAAUUAAAAACAUGAGAUUUGAAGGCACCUGUCAAGUGAAGACAUCCAGAGCUGUUGGAUUCUGAUCCCAAGUUUAGGCGCUCUCACUUACAGAUUCUCAUUUGUAUGAAAAACAAAGAAGAGAACAACAAAUGAAGCAACAUUGUCAUUCCAUACUUUGCAGAACUAUCUGAAAAGGUCAGGAGGAUUUUCAACCAACACAACAUUCAUACUAACUCUGCUGUUGUUCAGAAGGAUGAUGGAGGACUUUAGCAAGGGAGAGUGUGAUCCCUCUCUUUUAGUUCAUCUGACUAUUACAUUUGCCAUUGUUUAUUAAUUUGAUUAUAAUUUGUUUGAUGUGAGCUACUUAGAAUCAUUGAGUGUCUGGUAGCAUACAAUUUUAGUUCAUCAUCUUCAUCACUGAAUGCAUUGACGGGCUUACACAUCACACUUAGAAUAUAAAAAUAUAUAAAAUAUCAAACUGUCUACCGUGAAUCUCACCCCAUUCCUAAGAGGUC